This 225-nucleotide unclassified non-coding RNA is filed under the name plant metagenome. Its description in RNAcentral is "partial contains small subunit ribosomal RNA, internal transcribed spacer 1, and 5.8S ribosomal RNA". The record is from RNAcentral.
UCUCCGUUGGUGAACCAGCGGAGGGAUCAUUACAGGACUCGCAAGACUCCUACAACCCUGUGAACUUAACUAUAAGCACGUUGCUUCGGCGGGUGUCUCGGAGGGGGUUCUCCCUCCCCGAGACGCUAAACCCGCCGGCAGCCUACUAUACUCUGUCUCUUUGCGUUGGCAUCUCGAGUACAAUCAAGCAAGUUAAAACUUUCAACAACGGAUCUCUUGGUUCUG